Gavialis gangeticus (Gharial) is the source of this 1447-nucleotide long non-coding RNA. RefSeq lists it as uncharacterized. Lineage: Eukaryota; Metazoa; Chordata; Crocodylia; Gavialidae. The record is from RefSeq and is a predicted model, not a curated record. The transcript is spliced from 2 exons.
CCAUGCCUGCUGCUAUGAAUGAGGCUUAAGAAAAGGUGUCCUUGGCCUCCUGCUAAUAGUCAUCAUCUUCAUCGUGCCUGCGUGCGCUCUCUAGCUAACACAGCCUUAUGAAAUAGGGGCACACCGCUAAUAAACAAAGCACUAUAAAAGAUCAGAUUGUUGCAUGCUCCAGCCUCAUUUCCUUGCUGCCGCCAGCAACCUGCUCUCCGUUCAUCACUCCUGCUUGCAGCAGCGAGGAGGCCUGGGGUCCGCUCUCCCCCCCGCCUUGUCUCUGUGGGUGCUUCUGCCUUGCACUUUUCCAGAGCAGAGGACAAAUCAUGGGCAAGUCCAGCAAUAAAGGAAAUAAAGCUGGCUCAUUAUUGGGGCCUCGGAUCUUGAGAACCGGUCCUUGAGCUAAAUGACACAAGCCACGUGGUCUCUGCGAGCUAAGCAAGCAGCUGCCCACGGGGACAGGUGUAACUGCUGCCCGUGGCCCUAGCUGCAAUGCUCUCUCGAGCGAACGUGAUGCAGGUGCUGGGUUUGUUAGCUGCGUUGAGAUGACUUCCAAUGAAUCGGUUGCGGACAGGAUGAGAAAACGGUCCAUCCUGUUGUCUCGGAGAGAUGAAGUUGCUGCUGCCUGUGUAUGACUUUCAGGUACGACGCUAUGAUGGACUGAAGAGGAUGAAAAUGCACCAUGAGAAUUUGGAGUGGAUCCAUCUUAACAUCAUCAUCAUCAUCAUCAUCAUCAUACCUAACUGUCUUGUGGUUUUGGUCUUCUAGAUGGAUCCUCUGAUGCAAAGGGCUCUUCCUAUCGCCCGCACCCGUUCCCCAACCCGCCUUGGGAUCAGUGAAAUGGGCAUCGGUUGUGGACUAAGGAGCUGAAAGAUGUAAAAGACAAAGAAGAAUGAUGCACUUGGUCUCCAGUGCUGGGCACUGAGAAGGAAAGCAGAGAUCUUCCAUGCAGCUUCACGUCAACAGGAUUGUAUUCUCCACACCCAAUGCAAACCCCCGUCUAGGAUGCAGGAGGAGGAGACACUCAGCAUCACUGAGCCCUGCACGGUUGAAUCUGGAACGGGCUUCCAAGGCAGGUGGUGCUAGGAACUAGGCCUAGGCUGCAAGCUUAAGUAGCCAAGCUUUGUGUGUUGGUACUAGAGGCCCCAGGUAGGAAUGCAGCAGGGAAGUCACAGGAGCUGUAGAUAAAUGCCAGCAGAAAAUCUCCUCCUGACAUUGAUCUUAGUAACUUCAGUGACCCUUAAAAGCAGGAAGACUCCAGAGCCCUUGCAGCAGGGUGGGACUUCCCACUGACGUCACCAGGCUCUCACACCGGGGUGCGAUUCUUCACGUCCCGUCAAACCAAACCCUGAAAGACUGGGUGGUUUCCUGUUUGAGUUGAGCAAAGCAAACAAGGGAGUAGCAGAGGCUAAGACUAGGGCUCCACCAUGCAGCACAGGGAUGAGUUCAGGCUUUG